GGGAUGCAUAGUUUACCCUAUCUAAUUGUGUUGUUUUUGAAUUUAGGAGCAUUGCUCACUUCACUAGGCUGCCCUGAAUGUUACCACCACCCAUCUCCGCCGCCGAAAUGUCCUCCGCCACACUAUCCGCCUAAACAUCAUCAUCCUCCCAUUGUUAAGCCACCCUAUCACCCUAAACCACCAAAACAUCAUCCUCCAAAGCCACCUAAGCCUCCCGCGGUAAACCCACCAUAUCACCCUAAACCACCGAAGCCACCGGUGGUGAAGCCACCGGUGGUGAAGCCACCGUAUCACCCUAAACCACCUAAGCCUCCGGUGGUGAAACCCCCAUAUCACCCUAAGCCACCAAAACAUCCCCCGCAUCCUCCCAAGCCACCUGUUGUAAAGCCUCCCUAUGUACCUAAGCCACCUAUUGUAAAGCCUCCACCGUAUACACCCAAACCACCGGUUGUGAAGCCUCCGCCAUAUACACCCAAACCGCCGGUUGUGAAGCCUCCGCCAUAUACACCCAAACCGCCGGUUGUGAAGCCUCCGCCAUAUACACCCAAACCGCCGGUUGUGAAGCCUCCGCCAUAUGCACCCAAACCGCCGGUUGUGAAGCCUCCGCCAUAUGCACCCAAACCGCCGGUUGUGAAGCCUCCGCCAUAUGCACCCAAACCGCCGGUUGUGAAGCCUCCACCAUAUACACCCAAGCCACCUUACUAUCCAAUACCGCCGGUCAUAUCACCACCAACACUGCCUCCAAAGCCACCAGUCUACCCCAGUCCACCAAUAGUGAACCCUCCACCAUAUACACCCAAACCGCCGGUUGUGAAGCCUCCGCCAUAUACACCCAAGCCACCUUACUAUCCAAUACCGCCGGUCAUAUCACCACCAACACUGCCUCCAAAGCCACCAGUCUACCCCAGUCCACCAAUAGUGAACCCACCAACACCGCCGAUUCUGCCACCUCCUAUUGUGAAUCCACCAACACCGCCGAUUCUACCACCAC
This 991-nucleotide long non-coding RNA is filed under the name Gossypium raimondii (Peruvian cotton). RNAcentral's name for it is "long non-coding RNA (GRAI_LNC000158)". The record is from RNAcentral. Lineage: Eukaryota; Viridiplantae; Streptophyta; Magnoliopsida; Malvales; Malvaceae.